RNAcentral lists this ribosomal RNA (385 nucleotides) under uncultured bacterium. RNAcentral's name for it is "bacterial SSU rRNA". It matches the Rfam family "Bacterial small subunit ribosomal RNA", at positions 28 to 402 of the family's 1533-position model. The record is from RNAcentral.
GACGAACGCUGGCGGCGUGCCUAACACAUGCAAGUCGGAACGCGAAAGUCCCGCAAGGGAUCAGUAGAGUGGCAAACGGGUGAGUAACACGUGGGUGACCUGCCUUCGAGCGGGGGAUAACGUCCCGAAAGGGACGCUAAUACCGCAUGACAUCCUGCCUUUUAAGAGGUGGAGAUCAAAGCUGGGGAUCGCAAGACCUAGCACUCGAAGAGGGGCCCGCGCCUGAUUAGCUAGNGGUGGGUAACGGCUCACCAAGGCUACGAUCAGUAUCCGGCCUGAGAGGGCGGACGGACACACUGGGACUGAGACACGGCCCAGACUCCUACGGGAGCAGCAGUGGGGAAUUGUUCGCAAUGGGGGAAACCCUGACGAAGCAACGCCGCGU